CGCCAAAUGAUAUUGUUCAUGAGCUUGCUCCGGACUUUGAUAUAUCUUCUCUUGGACAAUUAUCCCCAGAGAUGUUGGAAGGCCAACAGAACUGCUGUAUCAUGUAAAAGAUGCCCUGUCCCAAUAUUCUUCUGCUAGUUCAUUAAUUUUCUUUUGUUACAAUUUGCAUAGAACAACAUUUAUUUUUUGCUUGGAUUUUACUUGUAAUGUUAUUGCUCAUUUCAUCUCCUAGAUAUAUGCCAUAUAUUUUUUCU
Capsicum annuum is the source of this 254-nucleotide long non-coding RNA. RefSeq lists it as uncharacterized. The record is from RefSeq and is a predicted model, not a curated record. Lineage: Eukaryota; Viridiplantae; Streptophyta; Magnoliopsida; Solanales; Solanaceae. The transcript is spliced from 2 exons.